Molecule: ribosomal RNA, 440 nt
Filed under: uncultured bacterium
Lineage: Bacteria
Description: partial 16S ribosomal RNA
Rfam family: Bacterial small subunit ribosomal RNA
Source: RNAcentral
CCUACGGGAGGCAGCAGUGGGGAAUAUUGCACAAUGGGGGAAACCCUGAUGCAGCGACGCCGCGUGAGCGAUGAAGUAUUUCGGUACGUAAAGCUCUAUCAGCAGGGAAGAAAAUGCCGGUACCUGACUAUGCAGCUCCGGCUAACUACGUGCCAGCAGCCGCGGUCAUACGUAGGGGGCAAGCGUGAUCUGGUUUUACUGGGUGUAAAGGUAGCGUAGACGGUGGUGCAAGCCAGAUGUGAAAGCCCGGGGCUCAACCCGGGGACGGCAUUUGAAACUGUGCUGCUAGAGUGUCGGAGAGGCAGGCGGAAUUCCAAGUGUAGCGGUGAAAUGCGUAGAUAUAAGGAGGAACACCAGUGGCGAAGGCGACCUGCUGGACGGUGACUGACGUUGAGGCUCGAAAGCGUGGGGAGCAAACAGGAUUAGAUACCCGAGUAGUC